CUACUAGGAUAGUGGACACAGCGCGCCUGGCUACUGCACUAGUAGAAUGCCGCGGGUGGUGACACUUCAGCGCCGCGGCUACUAGGAUAGUGGAUACAGCGCGCCUGGCUACUGCACUAGUAGAAUGUUGCGGGUGGUGACACGUCAGCGCCGCGGCUACUAGGAUAGUAGACACAGCACGCCUUACUACUGCACUAGUAGAAUGCCGCGGGUGGUGACACCUCAGCUCCACGGCUACUAGGAUAGUGGACACAGCGCGCCUGGCUACUGCACUAGUAGAAUGCUGCGGUUGGUGACCCGUAAGCGCCGCGGCUACUAGGAUAGUGGACACAGCGCGCCUGGCUACUGCACUAGUAGAAUGUUGCGGGUGGUGACACGUCAGCGCCGCGGCUACUAGGAUAGUGGACACAGCGCGCCUGGCUACUGCACUAGUAGAAUGCCGCGGGUGGUGACCCUCAGCGCCGCGGCUACUAGGAUAGUGGACACAGCGCGCCUGGCUACUGCACUAGUAGAAUGCUGCGGGUGGUGACACCUCAGCGCCGCGGCUACUAGGAUAGUGGACACAGCGCGCCUGGCUACUGCACUAGUAGAAUGCCGCGGGUGGUGACACCUCAGCGCCGCGGCUACUAGGAUAGUGGACACAGCGCGCCUGGCUACUGCACUAGUAGAAUGUUGCGGGUGGUGACACGUCAGCGCCGCGGCUACUAGGAUAGUAGACACAGCACGCCUUACUACUGCACUAGUAGAAUGCCGCGGGUGGUGACACCUCAGCUCCACGGCUACUAGGAUAGUGGACACAGCGCGCCUGGCUACUGCACUAGUAGAAUGCUGCGGUUGGUGACCCGUAAGCGCCGCGGCUACUAGGAUAGUGGACACAGCGCGCCUGGCUACUGCACUAGUAGAAUGCCGCGGGUGGUGACACCUCAGCGCCGCGGCUACUAGGAUAGUGGACACAGCGCGCCUGGCUACUGCACUAGUAGAAUGCUGCGGGUGGUGACACUUCAGCGCCGCGGCUACUAGGAUAGUGGACACAGCGCGCCUGGCUACUGCACUAGUAGAAUGCUGCGGGUGGUGACACCUCAGCGCCGCGGCUACUAGGAUAGUGGACACAGCGCGCCUGGCUACUGCACUAGUAGAAUGCCGCGGGUGGUGACACCUCAGCGCCGCGGCUACUAGGAUAGUGGACACAGCGCGCCUGGCUACUGCACUAGUAGAAUGCUGCGGGUGGUGACACCUCAGCGCCACGGCUACUAGGAUAGUGGACACAGCGCGCCUGGCUACUGCACUAGUAGAAUGCCGCGGGUGGUGACACUUCAGCGCCGCGGCUACUAGGAUAGUGGAUACAGCGCGCCUGGCUACUGCACUAGUAGAAUGCCGCGGGUGGUGACACGUCAGCGCCGCGGCUACUAGGAUAGUGGACACAGCGCGCCUGGCUACUUCACUAGUAGAAUGCUGCGGGUGGUGACCCGUAAGCGCCGCGGCUGCAAGGAUAGUGGACACAGCGCGCCUGGCUAUGCACUAGUAGAAUGCUGCAAGUGGUGACACGUCAGAGCGGCGGCUACUAGGAUAGUGGACACAGCGCGCCUUACUACUGCACUAGUAGAAUGCCGCGGGUGGUGACACCUCAGCUCCACGGCUACUAGGAUAGUGGACACAGCGCGCCUGGCUACUGCACUAGUAGAAUGCUGCAGGUGGUGACACCUCAGCGCCACGGCUGCUAGGAUAGUGGACACAGCGCGCCUGGCUACUGCACUAGUAGAAUGCUGCGGGUGGCGACACUUCAGCGCCGCGGCUGCUAGGAUAGUGGACACAGCGCGCCUGGCUACUGCACUAGUAGAAUGCCGCGGGUGGUGACACGUCAGCGCCGCGGCUACUAGCAUAGUGGACACAGCGCGCCUGGCUACUGCACUAGUAGAAUGCUGCGGGUGGUGACCCCUAAGCGCCGCGGCUGCUAGGAUAGUGGACACAUCGCGCCUGGCUACUGCACUAGUAGAAUGCUGCAAGUGGUGACACGUCAGAGCGGCGGCUACUAGGAUAGUGGACACAGCGCGCCUUACUACUGCACUAGUAGAAUGCCGCGGGUGGUGACACCUCAGCUCCACGGCUACUAGGAUAGUGGACACAGCGCGCCUGGCUACUGCACUAGUAGAAUGCCGCGGGUGGUGACUCUUCAGCGCCGCGGCUACUAGGAUAGCGGACACAGCGCGCCUGGCUUCUGCACUAGUAGAAUGCUGCGGGUGGUGACACCUCAGCGCCACGGCUACUAGGAUAGUGGACACAGCGCGCCUGGCUACUGCACUAGUAGAAUGCCGCGGGUGGUGACACGUCAGCGCCGCGGCUACUAGGAUAGUGGAUACAGCGCGCCUGGCUACUGCACUAGUAGAAUGCCGCGGGUGGUGACACGUCAGCGCCGCGGCUACUAGGAUAGUG
Molecule: long non-coding RNA, 2430 nt
Filed under: Volvox carteri
Lineage: Eukaryota; Viridiplantae; Chlorophyta; Chlorophyceae; Chlamydomonadales; Volvocaceae
Description: long non-coding RNA (VCAR_LNC003879)
Source: RNAcentral